GCGAACGUCAGGCCAUAUUUGUUGGAGAUGGUGAGGAGACUGGAGCGCUCCUUAGGAAGAUCCACAGAUGACUCGAACACACGGAUCUUCUUCAUCUGACGGAACUUGAAGUCCUGAGAAGCACAGAAGAGCACAUCUGUAUACCUUUUUAGGUUUUAAUUUGCGGAAAGACGAGUUGAGACUUUUAAAGAUCCACAGAAACACGCAUGCGUGGACGGGAAUGACGUCACGAGCACAACAAAUGACGCUGAAAACACACGACAGAAGAACAAGCCGCCUGUCAAUACUCCUGAUUCAGGUGUGUGUCAGACAAACUCACAUCUUUCACUUUCAUUUCACGGCAUAUGCCUGACAUUAAAAGGAAUCCUGUGCUGAUCGGAAUUCAUUAUGAAAUAAUAAAUAAUGCAGAGAAUCUGAUGGGAAACUGCAUCUGGUUUCAUCAAGCUGUCUCGUGACGUAUGAAGGAAUGAAGAGACACAUACGACACUUCAUAAUCUCCAGCAAAGCAGCGAGUGACCGACAGCCCACCCACUUUGGAGCACGUCAGGACAACCACUUUCACUUUGGUUGGCACCGAAGAGCACGGAGAACACACGGGAGGCACCAGCCACCAGAAAGCGGAUCACCUCACUUCACCAGGAACCUUACACUAAUAAAUAAAUCCACCCUCCGGGGCAUUUAAUUCAUGAACCCUUGUCGAGUGAUUCUUCACCCCGUGGCAUUACCUGUGUGCACGGAGACACUCGCCAAGUACCGGCCCGUGAGAUGGUCAUUUCGUCCCCCCAAGGCACCUCGCCGGUGGCCGUACCGGUGGAGGUAGGCCUGGUGAAGAACCUGCCGGUGGCCGUACUGCUCGGAAGGGAUUGGCCUGGCUUCGACAAGCUGCUCACCGCUUCUACUCAGCCUGCCAGCCCCAAGGGGAACAGUCGAAGGCCGAGGCAGCCGUCUGGACCCUGCCGCCGGCCGGCCCUGCUCGUCUCCGACAAAGAGAAGGUGAGGCCCCCUCCCAAUCUACUAAUCUUUUCUAUGAUGUGUACCAACAGGCCGCUGGAGGGGGCUCUUUCGCCAAGGAACAGCGGGAGGACGACCGACUCAAGCAUUGUUGGACUCAAGUGCGAGUCGUGGAUGGAGAGGACAUCCUCCCCCGGCCCCACCCUCUCCCACAUUUUGUCGUUGAGAAUGGCCUGCUGUAUUGUGUCGCCCAGCGGAGGGGGGAGGAGAAAAAGUUGCUAGUCAUGCCUCGAGCCAAGACCGAGACCUUCCUGGAACUUGCACAUUCCCACCCCAAGGCAGGUCACUUCGCGGCAGCCAACACCACCCAACGCCACCCAACGCAUCCGCGACCGCUUCCACUGGAGGCCGAAGUAAAGCGGUUCUGCCAAGCCUGCCCGACCUGUCAUGACACGUUGUCCAGGACUCCUCCCCCUAGCCUGCUCAUCCCGCUGCCUAUCAUCGAGGUGCCCUUCGAGCGGAUUGGAAUGGACAUAGUGGGGCCGUUGCCGAAGUCUGCCCGAGGGCAUGAGCACAUCCUGGUCAUCGUCGACUAUGCCACCCGGUACCCAGAGGCAGUCCCCCUGCGGAAGGCAACCGCGAAGACCAUCGCCCAGGAGCUGUUUCUGUUUCUUGGUCCGGUACUGCCAACGCUGGUAUAAUCCCUCUCUCAUUUCUCAGCAGAAAGCAGCGAGUGACCGACAGCCCACCCACUUUAGAGCACGUCAGGACACCCACUUUCACAUUGGUUGGCACCGAAGAGCACAGAGAACACACGGGAAGCACCAGCCACCAGAAAGCGGAUCACUUCACCAGGUACCUUAAACUUAAAUAAAUCCACCCUCCGGGGCAUUUAAUUCACGAAUGAUUUGUUGAGUGAUUCUUCACCCUGUGACAAUAUACAAUAUAUAUAUACAUAUCCUGUAGUGCAGAUUCUGUUUCCUCAGUCUAGAUCUGCACACUCUUCAUUUGGCAUCUAGUUCUGUUAGCAACAGAUCUGUAUGUUGGUCUAAGGAAAAAAGCCAGGUGAUCAAAUUGACCGAGGUGGGGGGCUGGCAGUGCUCUAUAGGCUCCCUUUAUAUUCGUAUACACCUGAUACAGUGUUUUUCCCUUCUCGUUCCAAUCUUAAUGUUUAUGUGAAACCUAGGUAGGACUGACUUUAAGUUUGAAUGAAUAAAAAGUCUCCCGCCACAAUGAA
This is a long non-coding RNA of Carassius gibelio (silver crucian carp), 2188 nucleotides long. RefSeq lists it as uncharacterized. Lineage: Eukaryota; Metazoa; Chordata; Actinopteri; Cypriniformes; Cyprinidae. The record is from RefSeq and is a predicted model, not a curated record. The transcript has 3 exons.